ACCACAAUUCACCAACAUCAUAGAGCCUGCUCCAGUUUCCUGAAAGGCACCUCUGCUUUUCACUGUGAUGUGUGUUAAAAUGGACUCCUGACAACAUUUCAGCAGAUUGCCACUAUGGGUCUGAGGAAUCCAGAUGACACACACUGUCUAUUAGAGCUGGACUAUACAGACUGAGAAAUCAUCUCUGAAAGAAGAUCAGUGUGUGUACUAACUAAUAGAAGUGUAAAUGUUACAUUGAAACAUUCCACUUAAAUAUAUGUAACAGGAACAAAGGUCUGUGUAAAUAGAUU
This is a long non-coding RNA of Mauremys mutica (yellowpond turtle), 290 nucleotides long. RefSeq lists it as uncharacterized. NCBI's taxonomy places the organism in Eukaryota, Metazoa, Chordata, Testudines, Geoemydidae. The transcript has 3 exons. The record is from RefSeq and is a predicted model, not a curated record.